Pelobates cultripes (western spadefoot toad) is the source of this 215-nucleotide non-coding RNA. The record is from the annotation of a GenBank genome assembly. Lineage: Eukaryota; Metazoa; Chordata; Amphibia; Anura; Pelobatidae.
AUUCUCUGUUCUACCUUGCAAUUCAAACCCAUCACAGCUAUGUCUCUGUGUCGAAGAUUCACUAGAUCUUCUGCUGUACUUGGGUACUGAUCUCAUCUUCAAUGGCUCGGUAAAACCUCUCAGAUAUACAUUGUGUCAAAGGACAAACAUUAUAUUAACUGUGAGCUCCCAGCGAACACUAUUCGGAGCGAAUUGAAAAGUCAAAGCUAAGGUAA